RNAcentral lists this unclassified non-coding RNA (4387 nucleotides) under Leishmania donovani. Its description in RNAcentral is "gene:LdHU3.20.1750(CDS-product:coatomer_beta_subu nit_putative)". The record is from RNAcentral. Lineage: Eukaryota; Euglenozoa; Kinetoplastea; Trypanosomatida; Trypanosomatidae.
AGGGCAGGCAGUAUUCACUUAGGUGCGCGCGGCGUCUUUUCAACGACAACGAAAAUCGCCGCCAAUAAAGAAAGGGAGGGAAAAACGGGGAGACCAGGCAAACCACCGCUUGUGAGGAGGGGGCGCUGGCUGCGCACAGAAGGUUGCACUCACGCACUGGCAGUGCUAUCGCUAUCCUAGCUCUCCAUCUCUCCGGCCUUCACGACCCCUGACAGCUGCGCGUGAGCAUACAAACACACACACACACACACAUACAUACAAGCAUCAAGCAACAUGGCGGAGACAGCAGUGUCGAGCCAGGAGGAGAGCAGCACGCUGCUCGUCGGCGUGGGCAAGGCAGCCAGCGCCAUGUCGUCGAAGGAAAUCAAGAACGCCCUGGAGAAGGGCGACACCACCGCCCGCGCGAAUGCCCUCAUGGCCAUCAUCCGCCUCCACGUGAACGGCGAGCCGCAGAACUACCUGAUCAUGUCCGUCAUCCGCUACAUCACCCCCAUCGAUGACCAUCUCAUCAAGAAGCUCGUCCUGUACUUUUGGGAGGUGGUUGACAAGCGCGACGCAGACGGCAAACUCCUCUCUGUCAUCAUUCUCAUCUGCAGCUUCUUGCGCAGCGACUUGCUCCACCCGAACGAGUACGUGCGGGGCCUGACGCUGCGCUUCCUCUGCAAGGUGAAUGAGGUGGAGCUGAUCGAGCCGCUCGUGUCGGCAGUGGUGCAGAACCUGUCGCACAAGGUCGCCUAUGUGCGGCGCAAUGCGGUGCUGGCAGUGCACUACAUCUUCAAGAAGUUCCCAAAGCUGCUCCCCGAUGCGCCGGAGCUGGUGGAAUCGGCAAUCCGCACCGAGACGGAUGUGUCGACGUGCCGCAACGGCCUCGAUUUCCUUGCUGCCUUCGCGCCUGAGCGGGCGGCGAGCUACCUCAGUGACUUCCGCGACUCGCACACACUGUCGGCCGUCGAUGGGCCAUUUCUGAUGUCCGUGGUGGAGUUCUGCCGUCAGAUGAUCCGCGCUAACCCGUACGAGAAGGCGCGCUACGUCCCGGUCCUCUUUUCUGUUCUGCAGAGUAAAAGUGCCGCGGUGCGCUACCAGUGUGCGACGACCCUGCUGAGCCUCUCCUCGUCUCCCACGGCGAUCCGUCAGGCGACGCUGACCUACGUCGACAUCAUCAAGGUGCACUCCGACAACAGCGUGCGGCUGAUUGUGGUCGAGCAGCUGAACCAGAUGCGCGGGUCGUACCUCUACGUGCUGCAGGACUCGCUGCUCGACAUCCUCAGCGUGCUACAGGACGGCUCCAUGGCCAUUCGCGAGCGCGUAAUCGAGCUGGCGGUCGAGCUGGUCACGCGUCGCAACGCCGAGACGUUCAUGCAGGCAAUGAGGAAGGAGCUGCUGCGCACCAACAGCGUGGACUUUGAAGUAGAAGACGCCAACGCUGCCAUGGCGUAUCGACUGCUCAUCAUCAAGGCCAUAAACACAGCGCUGCUGCGCCACCCGCCGUCGGCGCCGUCGAUGCUGCCGGUGCUGCUGGACUACCUGUGCGACACGACCAGCACUAGCAGGGAGGUCAUCACUCUCAUCAAGGAGGUGCUGCUCUCCCAGCCGGAGCUGCGCCGCGACACGAUGAAGAAGCUGUCGGACAUCUUUCCCAUGAUGACGUCAAGUCCCGUCAUGCGCACAGCACUCUGGAUGUUCGGCGCGUACGCGUCGUCCGCGGACGAGGUGCUGCAGACACUGCGCAUGCUCAAGAACGCGGUCGAGCCACUGCCGUUCGAGGCCCCCAAGCCUCUCUCCGGCGACGCAGCCAGCCUCAACACCACCGCGACCACCAACAAUGCCUCUUCCCAGUCCAACAUGCGUGCCGUGACGACCGUCCUCGAGGACGGCACGUACGUGACCACCUACACCACGGCCACCCCAGCAGCCGCGGCGACCGCGACGAACGGUCAUGGUGAGGGCGACAACAACGAUGUGAGCAGCAGCGGGCUGCGCUUGGCGCUGCUCAGGGGAGACUACUUCCUCGCCGCCGCCCUCGCCAGCACCCUCACCAAGCUUGUCGUGCAGCUGUUCACCGGGGAGGUCAAGGGGAGCGUGGAUGCGGCGACACGCAACACGGCGCAGUCCGACGCCCUCGCCAUCCUGCGCGAGGUACUGCGCUACGGCACGGAGGCGGACUCAUUGCACCCUAUCAGUGCCGACACCAACGAGCACAUCCUCCUGAACAUUGAGCUACUCUCCAACCCGCAGGCUCCCUUCAUGGUUGAUGUGCUGCGCGCCUCCUUGGAGGCGCUAGGGCGUGCAGAGCGGCGUUCGGCAAGGGAGUCUGGCAAGACCGACGGCGGCGGCGCUGCCACCGCUUCUGCUGCCGCUGCCGUGCAGCUGAACGCCAUCGACACACCUGUCGUGUUCUCGCAGCUGAGUGAGGGCAAGGAUGCCGUCUUCGAACUCGAGGCCACCGCCGAGGGCCCGGGUGCCGCGGCGAAGGGGGAGAGCAGCGAGCGCAAGGCGCAGCUGUUCCUGAAGAAGCUGGAGGACACGAUGCCGCUCUCCGGCUUCAACGACCCCGUCUACUGCGAGGCCAGCAUCACGGUUCAUCAGUUCGACGUCUCCGUGGACUGGCUGCUGGUGAACUGCACUUCGAAGCAGCUGACGAACCUGACCAUCGAGCUCGUCUCGCUCGGCGGCAUGAAGCUGUGCGAGCGGCCGCAGACGUACACCCUCAACCCCCACGAGACCAUUGCCGUGCGCACCUCGCUGAAAGUGAGCGCCACCGAGAGCGGCGUCAUCUACGGCACCGUGCUGUACGACGCGCCGAACAAUCAGCACUGCAGCUUCAUCCUGAACGACAUCCAUGUGGACAUCAUGAACUACAUUCAUCCGGGCCCGUGCUUCUCCGCGGAGUUCCGAGAGAAGUGGGGAAUCUUCGACUGGGAGAACAAGAUCGCCGUGUCGACGACGAAGCGCGACCUGGCCAGCUUAGUGCGCUUCAUUGUGCAGGAGUUGAACAUGCAGCUGCUGGAGCCGUACGAGGUGGAGCAGCAGGAGGAGCAGGACCCGGAGCUAGAGCUUCUACCGACGUCGGAAGAGAACGAGAAGUGCGCGUACGUCUCGUGCAAUCUGUAUGCCCAGACCGCCUUUGGCGAGGACGCCUUGGCGAACGUGAGCGUGGAGAGCGACGGGAAGGGUUUGGUGAGUGGCGUGAUUCGCAUUCGCUCCAACACGCAGACCAUCGCCUAUGGCAUCGGUGAAAAGCUGAACAUGCUCCAGAAGUCCGGCAAGCUGUGAGCAGGAUGUGUGUGUGUGUGUGUUACUGCAUGUGCUUGAGCUUGGACGUCGGCGUACGUCUGUGAUUUCUUCUUUUGCUGUGUGUGUGUGCGUGUGAUGCGGGGGUGGCGUGCCCGCUGGGCUCUUUCCUGUUCUCUUUCAACUCUCCAUUCUUGUCGCGCGCCGCCAUCACCCUCUCGAUGUGCGUGUGUAGCGCUCGUUGUGUCUUCUGUUUCCCUCUGUUACUGGGCUCGGCUCUUCUGAUCACGCGUGCGUGCAUGCACGUGCGGCUGCAGUUCCUGUUUUUGUUUUCUUGUCUGCGAGACUCCCCGCCUCCUGCGCAAGGGCGUGCUCGCCAGUGUCAGCUUGUGGCUCAUGGGUGCUGGUGUGCGUGCGUGUGUCUGUGUGCUUCGUGGACUGCAAGCGGACACAUCUGUGUGGGAACCGAAGACUUUAGUGGAGCGCUUCGCGCUCAUCUCUGUGCCUGUGUGUGUGUGUGUGUGUGGUUGUGCGUGUUUGGGUGCGCAUGAGUCUUUUCUCUUGUUUAGCCUCAUUCAAGAACACGACUAGAUCGAGAGAAGGUGGGGCGAUUUGUGGGGAGGGAGACGGAAGGGAAGGUAUGUGUGUGGUGCGCUGCGCUGUGCUGUGUAACACACGGGGAUGCGUAACCCCCCUUUCCCACCGCGGCGGAAACACAUGCAAGGCUUUUAUUUAUGCCUCUGCCUUCCCGCCCUUCUCCUCGUAGUGCCCUUUACCGAUAGGUGUGUGCGUAGCGGCAGCGGAAGUGGCGACUGACCAGGCGCCGAAAAACAGAGAUGGCCGUGUGCGGUGCAGCUCCGUUCCUCGCGUGAUGUUCACGCAGGGUCGUUGCCGCCGCCUCCACUGUUCCACGUUGCCUAUUGGCUUCGAUACCUGCGCCCGAUCGCUUCAUUUCUCCGUCCCUCUGUCUCCUGCGUGGCACCUGAUGCGCGUGACACUGCCCCCCUUCCCGUGCUCCCUUCCCUCGCAUCUGCACUGCUCUUGUACUCGUGGCGCCCUCUCUUCUCUACUGCUCUGCUUUUCUCUCGCCGCCCUCACCACACUUGUGUGCGUGUGUGCGUGUCUGAUGAGGCGGGCAUAUAAUACGCCAACGUAG